UGGGGAAUUUUGGACAAUGGGCGAAAGCCUGAUCCAGCAAUGCCGCGUGUGUGAAGAAGGCCUUCGGGUUGUAAAGCACUUUUGUCCGGAAAGAAAUCCUUGGCUCUAAUACAGUCGGGGGGUGACGGUACCGGAAGAAUAAGCACCGGCUAACUACGUGCCAGCAGCCGCGGUAAUACGUAGGGUGCAAGCGUUAAUCGGAAUUACUGGGCGUAAAGCGUGCGCAGGCGGUUUGCUAAGACCGAUGUGAAAUCCCCGGGCUCAACCUGGGAACUGCAUUGGUGACUGGCAGGCUAGAGUAUGGCAGAGGGGGGUAGAAUUCCACGUGUAGCAGUGAAAUGCGUAGAGAUGUGGAGGAAUACCGAUGGCGAAGGCAGCCCCCCUGGGCCAAUACUGACGCUCAUGCACGAAAGCGUGGGGGAGCAAACAGGAUUAGAUACCCCUGGUAGUCCCACGCCCUAAAACGAUGUCAACUAGUUGUUGGGGACUUCAUUUUCCUUAGUAACGUAGCUAACGCGUGAAGUUGACCGCCUGGGGAGUACGGUCGCAAGAUUAAAACUC
This 561-nucleotide ribosomal RNA is filed under the name uncultured bacterium. RNAcentral's name for it is "partial 16S ribosomal RNA". It matches the Rfam family "Bacterial small subunit ribosomal RNA", at positions 355 to 902 of the family's 1533-position model. The record is from RNAcentral.